CCUACGGGUGGCAGCAGUGGGGAAUCUUCCGCAAUGGGCGCAAGCCUGACGGAGCAACGCCGCGUGAGUGAAGAAGGUCUUCGGAUCGUAAAGCUCUGUUGAUGGGGACGAACGUGCCUAAUGCGAAUAGUUUUAGGUAAUGACGGUACCCAUCGAGGAAGCCACGGCUAACUACGUGCCAGCAGCCGCGGUAAUACGUAGGUGGCGAGCGUUGUCCGGAAUCAUUGGGCGUAAAGGGAGCGCAGGCGGGCAUGUAAGUCUUUCUUAAAAGUGCGGGGCUCAACCCCGUGAUGGGAAAGAAACUAUAUGUCUUGAGUACAGGAGAGGAAAGCGGAAUUCCCAGUGUAGCGGUGAAAUGCGUAGAUAUUGGGAGGAACACCAGUGGCGAAGGCGGCUUUCUGGACUGCAACUGACGCUGAGGCUCGAAAGCCAGGGGAGCGAACGGGAUUAGAUACCCUUGUAGUC
RNAcentral lists this ribosomal RNA (465 nucleotides) under uncultured Selenomonas sp. RNAcentral's name for it is "bacterial SSU rRNA". It matches the Rfam family "Bacterial small subunit ribosomal RNA", at positions 338 to 795 of the family's 1533-position model. Lineage: Bacteria; Bacillati; Bacillota; Negativicutes; Selenomonadales; Selenomonadaceae. The record is from RNAcentral.